RNAcentral lists this long non-coding RNA (1571 nucleotides) under Elaeis guineensis (African oil palm). RNAcentral's name for it is "long non-coding RNA (EGUI_LNC065823)". The record is from RNAcentral. Lineage: Eukaryota; Viridiplantae; Streptophyta; Magnoliopsida; Arecales; Arecaceae.
UGGGGAUCCUAGUGAGAAACAGACUCCUGAAGGAGUCCUUUCCCCCUCCAACUCCGACUCAAGUCCCGGUGGGAGUCGAAUUUAAUAUGGCUACUUUCUCUAUAUAUGAAGCUUUUGUAUCUAAGAUUGAUCUAGUAAAAAGCUUUCUUUUCAAUGAUUCUAUCUGAUCCUAGUGAAGAGAAUCCUGAUUCAUGAUCGUCGGAUAGUGUACUGGCAGCCACCUUGACUAGAUCGAGUAUUACUAGAUCUGAUCAUCCAUAACUUUUUUUGAAUCAUCUGUAUACUAGUUCAAUCACGAUUUAGUUAAAUCACUUUAAUUGGAUUGAUCGGAAUGCUGAAAAAUAUUACUUGAUCAGCCUUGUUCCACCUUAUUAAUCUCUCUCCUCUAAUAUUCUCUAUCUAUUUGAUCAAUGAACCCAACGAAGGAUUUUGAAUCUUGCCGCUUUAAAUCUGAGUUGGCCUAAUAGAGAGGCUUUAAACUAUCUAUAUCCUAAUCUGAUCUUGAUCAGAUGGAGUUAGAUGAUCGGAUCGAUCCAGAUCGUUAGAUGCAACUAUCUGUGAAUCAUAUCUUUCUUAAUUAUCUGUAUCCUCUCUAAUUAUUAGACUUAAUUUUGUAUAGAGGUGCCGUCAUCUUGACAAGAAGACGUCCAGCAGUAGGGAUACUAUGAUAUGAUCUUUUAAUUAAAGAUUUUUAAAAGAAAAUUUUGAAAUUAUUUAAAUUUGUUGGAGUACGUAUAAAGUAACUAAUGUUUCAGUUUUUCUAGAUUUAUCAAUAAAUUAUAAAAUAUUUUUUAUAUUAAAUUAGUCAUGAUUUUGAAUGUGAUGCAUAGUAUUUUGAAUUACCAAAUAUGCCCUUUUCUGAAAUGUUAAAUGAUUUAUUAUCAAACAUAUUGAAUUUGAUAUAGAUUAUCCGAUUGAUUUCGACAUCUCGUGAUUUAUGAAUCUUUCAAUUUAGAAUAUCAAUUAUGUUUUCAAGAAAAAUAUUUUAAUUUGAGAUGGAUUUUGACUCACAGUUAGAUUCUAUUUUCAAUAUCUUAUCAGUAGUUGUACUCUAAUACUUCUAUAUCCUGCCAGUGAGUGUUAUGCGCUGGUAUUUCGAUACACUACUAGUAGAGGCUGUGCGCUAGUAUUUUGGUAUCCUACCAGUGGAGGUUGUGCGCUGGUAAUUCGAUACACUAUCAGUAGGACCGUUAAAUAUUAGUAAUUUGAUAUCCUACUAACGAAGAUUGUGCACUAAUGCUUUGAUACCCUAUCAUUGAAGGUUAUGCAGUAGCACUUUGUUUAAUUCAUGGCUGUCAAGAUGAAAGUGAUAUUUUGAAAAAAAUCGAUUUAUGAAUGAAAUUUGAAUUACGAAAAGAUUACAUCCAUAUGCUUAUUAUUUGAAAAGUAUCAUAUAUAUGAAUUGGAUUUUGAAUUAAUGUAUGCAUGCUUAUUUUCAAUAUAGAAUUAUUACUGGAUUUGUUUAGUUAAAGUAUUGAUUAUUUAUUGGACUGUCUAACUCAUUACUCUAUAUUUUACUAUUUUUAUAGAUUCAGAUGACUAAUUUGACUCGGAGAUUCAUUGUGGAAGAG